Serinus canaria (Common canary) is the source of this 1842-nucleotide RNA transcript. It is a transcript of the gene named histone H3, with no coding region annotated. The transcript is spliced from 2 exons. The record is from RefSeq and is a predicted model, not a curated record. Lineage: Eukaryota; Metazoa; Chordata; Aves; Passeriformes; Fringillidae.
UCCAAAUUUCCCCGCGGCCCAAUGAGCGACCGCAGCUCCUCCCAGCAACCAAUCGCAGGCGGCCCCGGCCUUGCGCAGAGCCGCGCGCCGUCGCUCCGCCUCCCGCCCGCGGCGCUCGGUGCUGCUGCCCGGCCCAGCCGAGCCGAGCUCCGCCGCCAGCCCCGCAGGGAGCGGGACAGGAACGCUGCUGGCUCCAACCCGCCUCCCGCCCUGGCAGGCGCCUCCUCGGAAAAGUAGGUCGGUGAAAUCACGCAGAAAUUAAAACCUGCCCCACGCCGGCGCUGGCAAGCGGAAAGGUCACUGCCAAGGAAGCGGAGGAGCCGUGCUGACAGUUCCCUGCUACGGUCACUAAGAGGUGUGGCGGUCGCAUCCGUGCUGUUAGGAAUCGCGCUGAUUCAGAGCAACGAAAGGAACCUCCACGCCCCAGAAAGCUUAAUCAAGGGACAGCGCAUCCUGAGUCCUGUGGUGCUUCAAUCAAAUGCCAGUUUAGAAGGAGGAGAAAGGAUUUGAGAGAAGCAAAGCUCCUGAGCAUCCGUGCAGGCUGGGGUUGCGGUGUAGCUGGUUUGCUGUCUACUGUGUCUCUACCAGAAGGCAGGAGCAGAUUUGCAUGGAGGGCUACUGAGCCCAGAGCUCCACAGGCCACCCUGGAGCACUUGUUUAGUAGAGCACUCUUUGGUGUUUUCCUCAGAGAAGCCCAGGAAAGCUAUGGCCAUGGCCAGAGUUGGCUCAACAUGGUUGCCCUUGCCCCUCCUUGCAAGUUAUUGACCCUGUCCUUUCUCUCCCGUAUCCUAUAAAAGCUUCAUGUGAAGAGCUGGGUAUUUCAUUAACUUCCCAACACCCCAAACCUGAUCUAGGAGUUCCUCCAUCCUUUUUUUUCCCUGGACCUAUUCAGCUAUCCCAGCUGUCCCAGCUACUCAGUGAGCCUGCAAGAGUUCAGCUCGUGCAUGGAGUGAUGGGGGUGAGGCCAUGCAAGCCUUCCUCCCAGCAGGGACUCAGACAACAAGCCCACAAGACAAUUUGGGAAGAUUUUUGCCUCUCUGUGGAUCAUCUGGUCUGUAAGCCACUCAGUGUGAAUGGAAAACUGCAUCCUUAGGUCGGCCUAAGAUGCUGGACCAGGACAGAGGUCUUUUCUUGAUUUAUCAGUCCCUGAGUAUUUUCUGAGUUUGGCAGCAAGAAGGAAGCUGGAAACAGCCCAAGCCAAGGCUACAGCCCAAACUCUUAUCUCUGAGCAGCUGCAGUGGUUGAAUAAAAAGAUGAGAAUGGGUCUCUCCACCUCUGACUCUCUGAAUUAGCAGGGAAAAGCAGGGAAAACACUAAAUUAGUUAUCAGUGCACCAGUCAUUAAACAAAAUUUUUGGUAUUUUCUAGUUUUCUUGGACAGCAUAAAGCAUUUCUGCACUUAUUCUGCUGCCAGAAGAUUCCAUCCAAAUGGUGAAUCCACACAUGCAACUAUUUGUGCCUCAGUCUCAAAAUCAGAGCUUUCUGUGCUUAAAAGAUUUCUUACCAAAAUGAUGUGUGCUGUUCUACUUCAGUAAUCACAGCUUCCUAGCCUGGCUUAGGUGCUGAACUUAAGGUGUGGUUUGUGGGUACGGGGGUACAGGGAACAAAAAGACCACAGGGAUAGAUUUAGUGGCUUAAGGGCUGCCAAAGAAGUCAAAUCUUGUGCAUUUCCAGUCCUACCUGGAGGCAGGUCCCAGCUGAUCCCAUCUCCAUGCUGUGGGAGUUGAGUACUCUCCAUCCAGGUUCUUUCAGAUAUUACAUGAGAAGGGUUUAAUGUUCAACUUUAAAUUUUCCUAGUGAGCAUAUUUGAUGUUAGAUUGUAUUUUUAAUGAGCAGAAGGAUA